This 335-nucleotide ribosomal RNA is filed under the name uncultured bacterium. RNAcentral describes it as "bacterial SSU rRNA". It matches the Rfam family "Bacterial small subunit ribosomal RNA", at positions 28 to 334 of the family's 1533-position model. The record is from RNAcentral.
GAUGAACGCUGGCGGCGUGCUUAACACAUGCAAGUCGAACGGAGUUAACAUUUUUGAAGCAAAUAGCUUGCUAGGAGCAGAGAUGUUGUUAACUUAGUGGCGGACGGGUGAGUAACGCGUGGGUAACCUGCCGUAUACAGGGGGAUAACACUUAGAAAUAGGUGCUAAAACCGCAUAAGCGCACAGUUCCGCAUGGAAUGGUGUGAAAAACUCCGGUGGUAUACGAUGGACCCGCGUCUGAUUAGCCAGUUGGCAGGGUAACGGCCUACCAAAGCGACGAUCAGUAGCCGGCCUGAGAGGGCGGACGGCCACAUUGGGACUGAGACACGGCCCAA